This 498-nucleotide ribosomal RNA is filed under the name uncultured bacterium. Its description in RNAcentral is "partial 16S ribosomal RNA". It matches the Rfam family "Bacterial small subunit ribosomal RNA", at positions 30 to 523 of the family's 1533-position model. The record is from RNAcentral.
AUUGAACGCUGGCGGCAUGCUUUACACAUGCAAGUCGAACGGUAACAGGCCGCAAGGUGCUGACGAGUGGCGAACGGGUGAGUGAUGCAUCGGAACGUGCCCAGUCGUGGGGGAUAACGCAGCGAAAGCUGUGCUAAUACCGCAUACGAUCUAUGGAUGAAAGCGGGGGACCGUAAGGCCUCGCGCGAUUGGAGCGGCCGAUGUCAGAUUAGGUAGUUGGUGGGGUAAAGGCUCACCAAGCCAACGAUCUGUAGCUGGUCUGAGAGGACGACCAGCCACACUGGGACUGGGACACGGCCCAGACUCCUACGGGAGGCAGCAGUGGGGAAUUUUGGACAAUGGGCGCAAGCCUGAUCCAGCAAUGCCGCGUGCAGGAAGAAGGCCUUCGGGUUGUAAACUGCUUUUGUAUGGGAGCAAAAGUAUUUAGUGAAUAGCUGAAUAAACUGAGAGUACCAUAAGAAUAAGCACCGGCUAACUACGUGCCAGCCGCCGCAGUAA